RNAcentral lists this ribosomal RNA (447 nucleotides) under uncultured bacterium. Its description in RNAcentral is "bacterial SSU rRNA". It matches the Rfam family "Bacterial small subunit ribosomal RNA", at positions 331 to 795 of the family's 1533-position model. The record is from RNAcentral.
CCAGACUCCUACGGGAGGCAGCAGUGGGGAAUAUUGCACAAUGGGGGAAACCCUGAUGCAGCGACGCCGCGUGAGCGAUGAAGUAUUUCGGUAUGUAAAGCUCUAUCAGCAGGGAAGAAAAUGACGGUACCUGACUAAGAAGCCCCGGCUAACUACGUGCCAGCAGCCGCGGUAAUACGUAGGGGGCGAGCGUUAUCCGGAUUCACUGGGUGUAAAGGGAGCGUAGACGGCCAUGCAAGCCAGGGGUGAAAGCCCGGGGCCCAACCCCGGGACUGCCCUUGGAACUGUGCGGCUAGAGUGCGGGAGGGGCAGGCGGAAUUCCUGGUGUAGCGGUGAAAUGCGCAGAUAUCAGGAGGAACACCGGCGGCGAAGGCGGCCUGCUGGACCGCGACUGACGUUGAGGCUCGAAAGCGUGGGGAGCAAACAGGAUUAGAUACCCGAGUAGGG